Molecule: long non-coding RNA, 2186 nt
Filed under: Eucalyptus grandis
Lineage: Eukaryota; Viridiplantae; Streptophyta; Magnoliopsida; Myrtales; Myrtaceae
Description: long non-coding RNA (EGRA_LNC001847)
Source: RNAcentral
UCGCCGCCCUAGCCGCCAGAUUAGCUCCGGCAAGCCUUGAACUGCAACCCAAGAAAUGGGUUUCCAGCUGGUUCGGGCCCCGCUUUUGGGCCGUUUCCGAGCCCCAAACCCGAGCCGUGCUUUGGGAAGAAUCAUUCCUUGCGUCACCCCCGUCGGAUUGAUCCAAUUUGCGCGCGAUUUGGUGAGUAAUCUCACUAAUUCCGGAUUAGUUGGCUAAUUAUGCUUAAGGUUGGUUUAGUUUUAAUUAAUUAGGUUUAGGUUGUUAGAUUAGAAUAAAUUAACAAUUAUUAGUCAAUUGUUAUGCGGUUUAGUUAAAUUGAUUGCGCAAUUAAUAAGUAGAUGUGGUCUACUAAUUAUUGGAAGCAUCUCGGGAAUUUUCCAACCCCUAAUUGGGCUUUAAUUUGGCGAUUCGGGCCUAAGUGGGAUUUUUGGCAUUUAAAUAUUAUUUUUCGGAAUUAAAUUAAUUAUUUAUUUAUUUUCUGAAAAUUCAACUGGGAUGGCCAGUGACCGGAAUAUUAUGCUGAUGAUCGUAAUGAAGUCCGUUUAUUUAAUUGGGCUUUAUUUUGAGCUAAAUUGAAUUUUUAAUAUUAAUUAUUUAAUUUCCGAAAUUAAUUAAUUAUUUAUUUAUUUUCCGAAAAUUCAAUUGAGAUGGCUAGUGACCGGAAAUUUAUGUUGGUAAUCGUGGUGCAGUCCGUUUAUUUAAUUGGGCCUUAUUUUGAGCAAAACGGAAUUUUUAAUAUUUAAUAAUUAAUUUUCGAAAGAAAUAAAUUAAUUAAUUAUUUUUCGGAAAUUAAGAUUGAGAUGGCCGACGACCGAAAUCUCGUGCUGAUUGUCGGGGCACAGUCCAUUUAUUUAUUUGAGCUUUAAUUUGUACUGAAUUGAUUUAAUUGUGGAUUUUUAGGAUAUGUUCCUAAAUUGAUUAUUUGGGUAAAUUGAGUACGAAUUAAGGUUGUGGAUAAUUACUUUAGAAAUGAGAUGAAUCAUCAUGAAAGGCACGUGGCUCGGUGAAUAGUACAUCAUCUCGGAGAAUGCACGUGGCUUCGUGAUUUGGUAUAUCGCUUCAGAGAAUGCACGUGACUCGGUGAUUAAUACGUCGCCUUGGAGAGUACACGGGGCUUGAUGAUUAGAUAUGUCACCUCGGAGAAUGCACAUGGCUCGGUGAUGAAGUAUGUCGCCUUGGAUAAUGCAUGUGACUCGGUGACUAAAUGUAUAUAUCACCUCAGAAAAUGCACAUGGCUCAGUGACGAAGUAUGUCACCUUGGAGAAUGCAUGUGGCUCAAUGAUUAAGUGUGGCAUCUUGAAAGAGACACGUGGGCUCGGUAAUUUGAUGCAUUACCUCGGAGAAUGCACGUGUUCUCAAUGAGUACAUUUGGCAUCUUGAAGAGACACGUGGGCUCGGUGACUUGAUGCAUCGCCUUGGAGAAUGCACGUGGGCUCGCUGAUUCAAAAUAACAUUUUAAAGAGCAAGUGGCUCGAUGAUCGGUUCCAUCACCUUGGAGAAUGCACGUGGCUCGAUGAUAAAGAAUAUCGCCUCGGAGAAUGCACGUGACUCGGUGAUUGGUUUUAUCAGUUGAGACUGUAUAGCAAUGACUAGAAUGACCUAGAGAUGGUUCGGCUGACAUGUAAUCGACUAAGUCGAUUGAUCAUUGCCUUGAGUCUGAUGUUGCAAAUUGAUUGACUGAAUGGAAAUGACCGUGAGUGGUCUUGUUGGCUUGUAAUCGACUGGGUCGAUUUGAUCGAUGCUUCGAUCUGUGAUAUGAUUACUUGGGUGUCUAUUGUGAAUUGUACUGACUUGCAGGUGGGAUCUGAGGCCAAGGUAAGUCCUCUAACCUGUGCGUGUUUAGGCAGCCUAUAGUAUAAUGGUUUACUAAUUGGGCCUUAGUAGGGCAGAAUUCGCUAAGACGUAGUCUCAUCCCAGUUUGAGGAAACAUUUCAGGACCCUGAUGAGGAGCUGAGGAGGAGGAGUCUGAGAAGGAGAACUCGAAGGUGAAACCUGAGGAGAAGGAUUUUUGAAAGAAGAAGAUAAUACUGAGAGGAGUCUUAAAUAUGAUCCGGAUGAACUGAGAUUCUAUCUUCUUUUGAGAUCUCUAAUUUGAUGUGAAUAGAAAUAGAGUGAAAAGUUGUGAAGUACUUUCGUUUGUGUUUUGUAUAAAAGUUUGGUUAUAAGUUUCAAUAUGAAAAAUAUG